RNAcentral lists this ribosomal RNA (1372 nucleotides) under Alcaligenes faecalis. Its description in RNAcentral is "bacterial SSU rRNA". It matches the Rfam family "Bacterial small subunit ribosomal RNA", at positions 67 to 1439 of the family's 1533-position model. Lineage: Bacteria; Pseudomonadati; Pseudomonadota; Betaproteobacteria; Burkholderiales; Alcaligenaceae. The record is from RNAcentral.
CAGCGCGAGAGAGCUUGCUCCUUGGCGGCGAGUGGCGGACGGGUGAGUAAUAUAUCGGAACGUGCCCAGUAGCGGGGGAUAACUACUCGAAAGAGUGGCUAAUACCGCAUACGCCCUACGGGGGAAAGGGGGGGAUCGCAAGACCUCUCACUAUUGGAGCGGCCGAUAUCGGAUUAGCUAGUUGGNGGGGUAAAGGCUCACCAAGGCAACGAUCCGUAGCUGGUUUGAAGGACGACCAGCCACACUGGGACUGANACACGGCCCAGACUCCUACGGGAGGCAGCAGUGGGGAAUUUUGGACAAUGGGGGAAACCCUGAUCCAGCCAUCCCGCGUGUAUGAUGAAGGCCUUCGGGUUGUAAAGUACUUUUGGCAGAGAAGAAAAGGUACCUCCUAAUACGAGGUACUGCUGACGGUAUCUGCAGAAUAAGCACCGGCUAACUACGUGCCAGCAGCCGCGGUAAUACGUAGGGUGCAAGCGUUAAUCGGAAUUACUGGGCGUAAAGCGUGUGUAGGCGGUUCGGAAAGAAAGAUGUGAAAUCCCAGGGCUCAACCUUGGAACUGCAUUUUUAACUGCCGAGCUAGAGUAUGUCAGAGGGGGGUAGAAUUCCACGUGUAGCAGUGAAAUGCGUAGAUAUGUGGAGGAAUACCGAUGGCGAAGGCAGCCCCCUGGGAUAAUACUGACGCUCAGACACGAAAGCGUGGGGAGCAAACAGGAUUAGAUACCCUGGUAGUCCACGCCCUAAACGAUGUCAACUAGCUGUUGGGGCCGUUAGGCCUUAGUAGCGCAGCUAACGCGUGAAGUUGACCGCCUGGGGAGUACGGUCGCAAGAUUAAAACUCAAAGGAAUUGACGGGGACCCGCACAAGCGGUGGAUGAUGUGGAUUAAUUCGAUGCAACGCGAAAAACCUUACCUACCCUUGACAUGUCUGGAAAGCCGAAGAGAUUUGGCCGUGCUCGCAAGAGAACCGGAACACAGGUGCUGCAUGGCUGUCGUCAGCUCGUGUCGUGAGAUGUUGGGUUAAGUCCCGCAACGAGCGCAACCCUUGUCAUUAGUUGCUACGCAAGAGCACUCUAAUGAGACUGCCGGUGACAAACCGGAGGAAGGUGGGGAUGACGUCAAGUCCUCAUGGCCCUUAUGGGUAGGGCUUCACACGUCAUACAAUGGUCGGGACAGAGGGUCGCCAACCCGCGAGGGGGAGCCAAUCUCAGAAACCCGAUCGUAGUCCGGAUCGCAGUCUGCAACUCGACUGCGUGAAGUCGGAAUCGCUAGUAAUCGCGGAUCAGAAUGUCGCGGUGAAUACGUUCCCGGGUCUUGUACACACCGCCCGUCACACCAUGGGAGUGGGUUUCACCAGAAGUAGGUAGCCUAAC